This 465-nucleotide long non-coding RNA is filed under the name Hordeum vulgare. RNAcentral describes it as "long non-coding RNA (HVUL_LNC008776)". Lineage: Eukaryota; Viridiplantae; Streptophyta; Magnoliopsida; Poales; Poaceae. The record is from RNAcentral.
GCUGUGGAACGGGCAAUGCUACAUCGGGUUCUGGUGGGUUUGGGCAGAACAAAUCUCGCCAGGUAUGGUAGUGGCUGUUGAGUUUGGAAGGUUUUGUUUGGUAUAAACAAGAUUUUGGUGAGGUUUUGUUGUUUGCGGCCAAUGUUUGGUUGACCUCUUUGGCAGCAACGUAAUCGUAUCUAGUUAGCAGAUGACCUUUCCAAUCGUAGUAGUAAUGUUCACUCACUCCGCAAAUAUUGUUGCUGUCACGUCCCAGCAUCUUUGUUUGCCUGGUACAAAAGCCGAUGACAUUUAGAGAAUUAGAUGGUCCAUGAACCAUGAUCGUUAUCGGUUUACUCCCACCAAUGGCGGAGCCAGAAAAUUAGGAUAAGGAAGGCCAAGUAUAGUUUAAUCUUGUUAGGGAGGACCAAUCCAUCAAAAAACACCAUUUUAGCACACAAAAAAUAACUAUUACUAUUCAUUCUA